RNAcentral lists this ribosomal RNA (224 nucleotides) under uncultured bacterium. RNAcentral describes it as "partial 16S ribosomal RNA". It matches the Rfam family "Bacterial small subunit ribosomal RNA", at positions 15 to 228 of the family's 1533-position model. The record is from RNAcentral.
GAUCAUGGCUCAGGAUGAACGCUGGCGGCGUGCCUAAUACAUGCAAGUAGAACGCUGAAGCUUGGUGCUUGCACCGAGCGGAAGAGUUGCGAACGGGUGAGUAACGCGUAGGUAACCUGCCUCUUAGCGGGGGGAUAACUAUUGGAAACGAUAGCUAAUACCGCAUAAAAGUCGGCAUUGCAUGAUGUUGACUUGAAAGGUGCAACUGCAUCACUAAGAGAUGG